UAGGGAAUCUUCCACAAUGGGCGAAAGCCUGAUGGAGCAACGCCGCGUGAGUGAGGAAGGCUUUCGGGUCGUAAAGCUCUGUUGCCAGGGAAGAAUAAGGAUCAUUUAACUGAUGAUCCGAUGACGGUACCUGAGAAGAAAGCCCCGGCUAACUACGUGCCAGCAGCCGCGGUAAUACGUAGGGGGCAAGCGUUGUCCGGAAUUAUUGGGCGUAAAGCGCGCGCAGGCGGCUCUUUAAGUCUGGUGUUUAAGUGCGGGGCUCAACCCCGUGACGCACUGGAAACUGGGGAGCUUGAGUGCAGAAGAGGAGAGCGGAAUUCCACGUGUAGCGGUGAAAUGCGUAGAGAUGUGGAGGAACACCAGUGGCGAAGGCGGCUCUCUGGACUGUAACUGACGCUGAGGCGCGAAAAGCGUGGGGAGCAAACAGGAUUAGAUAGCCCUGGUAGUCCACGCCGUAAACGAUGAGUGCUAGGUGUUGGGGGUAUCAUGCCCUCGGUGCCGAAGUUAACACAUUAAGCACUCCGCCUGGGGAGUACGGUCGCAAGACUGAAACUCAAAGGAAUUGACGGGGGUCAUGAGCUG
This 582-nucleotide ribosomal RNA is filed under the name uncultured bacterium. RNAcentral's name for it is "partial 16S ribosomal RNA". It matches the Rfam family "Bacterial small subunit ribosomal RNA", at positions 355 to 932 of the family's 1533-position model. The record is from RNAcentral.